RNAcentral lists this ribosomal RNA (468 nucleotides) under uncultured bacterium. RNAcentral's name for it is "partial 16S ribosomal RNA". It matches the Rfam family "Bacterial small subunit ribosomal RNA", at positions 28 to 507 of the family's 1533-position model. The record is from RNAcentral.
GACGAACGCUGGCGGCGUGCUUAACACAUGCAAGUCGAACGAAAAGGCCCUGCUUUUGUGGGGUGCUCGAGUGGCGAACGGGUGAGUAACACGUGAGUAACCUGCCCUUGACUUUGGGAUAACUUCAGGAAACUGGGGCUAAUACCGGAUAGGAGCUCCUGCUGCAUGGUGGGGGUUGGAAAGUUUCGGCGGUUGGGGAUGGACUCGCGGCUUAUCAGCUUGUUGGUGGGGUAGUGGCUUACCAAGGCUUUGACGGGUAGCCGGCCUGAGAGGGUGACCGGCCACAUUGGGACUGAGAUACGGCCCAGACUCCUACGGGAGGCAGCAGUGGGGAAUAUUGCACAAUGGGCGGAAGCCUGAUGCAGCAACGCCGCGUGCGGGAUGACGGACUUCGGGUUGUAAACCGCUUUCGCCUGUGACGAAGCGUGAGUGACGGUAAUGGGUAAAGAAGCACCGGCUAACUACGUG